UUCACCAUCAUGGACCCUGUUCCCAGGAAGAUGAUUUCUCCUAAAUUAAGGUGAUCACAGUGACUCUCAGUAAUAGGGAAAGAAAAACCCAACAAGGAUUGCAGGAGACUCUGGCCUCUGAUAUCACUGAUGUCCAGAAACAAGAUUCUGAGUGGGGACACAGCCUGCCAGGGCGAAUUGUCCCACCCCUGCAGCACAACUCACCUCCACCUAAGGAGCGAGCAGCCACCGGCUUCUUUGGGUUUCUAAGCUCUCUCUUCCCGUUUCGAUAUUUCUUCAGGAAGAGCAGCCACUCUUGAGCCUUCCAAAUGCAGCGCUGGAAAGAGGAUCAUCUCUUGUAGUGACUCCUCCCGAGCCAUUCUUCCUCCAACUCUAUCCUUUUCUUAUGACACUUCAGUCGUGGGGAAUGAGGUCCCCAUGCUGAGUCCUCUGUGGUUUUAUCGUGUCCUUUGCCCCUUUAUAAUAGAUUUUUUCCCCCAAUUUAAAACAUUAAGAAUGGAACUUUCUAAAAUGUUCAUGUCCUGAGGGCCGGUUUAGGCCUUUUGUCUUCGGCACUUAGGAUCCUAAUGACAAUAAAUUAUUUAUGAAGAGUUAUUGAUUGAAUUUAGUGGAAUAGAGUAAAAGAGAACAAAUGCUUCCCUCAAG
RNAcentral lists this long non-coding RNA (645 nucleotides) under Homo sapiens (human). RNAcentral describes it as "HSALNT0363234". The record is from RNAcentral. Lineage: Eukaryota; Metazoa; Chordata; Mammalia; Primates; Hominidae.